CCGUGACCCCGGAAGUAGGGUACCGGAUUUAGUGCAAGCUCUUUGUUGUCUUGAAUGUUGAUUUUCUCUACAGUAGGGUUUGACAACCUACUGUCAGAGGGCGUGGCGGUAGGGUCCUAGAAUAAUCAGUAAAUAAACUCUAAUAGACUCUUUUUGCAAUAAAACAAUCAAACAUAACAUAAAAUAACCAGGCUUGAGGAGUUGUCAAAUAAUUCCGACAUAGUUCAUUACAUUGAAGAGUUUAAGUGAGAAGGAUACAAGUCAUUACAAUCUUGUUCUACACCGGCAACCAAUCUCUAAUAUGUUUAAUACGUUCAAUUUAUUCAUCACACUCACGAUUAGGCUC
Molecule: long non-coding RNA, 346 nt
Filed under: Hordeum vulgare
Lineage: Eukaryota; Viridiplantae; Streptophyta; Magnoliopsida; Poales; Poaceae
Description: long non-coding RNA (HVUL_LNC012929)
Source: RNAcentral